RNAcentral lists this long non-coding RNA (835 nucleotides) under Heterocephalus glaber (naked mole-rat). Its description in RNAcentral is "lncRNA (ENSHGLG00000045246.1)". The record is from RNAcentral. Lineage: Eukaryota; Metazoa; Chordata; Mammalia; Rodentia; Bathyergidae.
GUAAAGGCUGUCAGGAGACUAGAAGUAGAACAGAAACUUCUCAGCAAAUUAAAGACAUGUACUCCAUACUUCCAGUGAGAACGCCUUAUGUGAACGGAGAAGAUACAAUGCUUUCUCCUUAAGAUACAGUCUCACUGUGUUUUCCAGGCUGAUUCCAAACUCCUGGGCUCCAGUGAUGCUCCUGCCUCAGCCUUCAGAGUAGCUGGAACUACAGGCACCCACCACUGUGUCUGGCUCAUGUCUUUUUGUGCUGGAGGAGGCUGUAGGUGACCUGUGAAUUGGCCUCUUCCGAAGAAACUUCCAGGAAUUGUUUGAACUUUUUCCUGCCUUGCUUGCUGACUUUGGAGUCCACCCCCGGUGUGAGAUGUUCAUUACUUAAGCCGAGUCGUUAGAUGAACCAGUUUUAAUCUCUACAUGGAGCAACUUGUUUUGUAAAUAAUUCAAACAUUUUAUCAUGGGUACAAUGACAAAAUGAAGAUUUAAAAAUAUGUACAUUGUUUGACAAUUAAAAAGAGAAAUUCAUACACAACAUUUGUUCAAUUUGUGAAACAUUCAAAAAUUUGACAAAGUAUAAAUAUGUAUCCUAACUAUAAUUUUAAAAGGGGGCUGGGGAUUUAGCUCAGUGGUUUUGCUGCCUGCUGCGCAAGCGCAAGGAUCUGAGUUCGAUCCCCAGUACAAAAAAAAAAAAAAAAAGAUUUCUAUAAUUUUAAAAGACAUUUUGGGAUAUUUCGAGAAAACAACUAAAGACUCCUUAUUUGGAUGGAUAUGAUGGUUAAGUUCUUUUUUCAUUUUAAAACUUAUUUGUUGACAAGCCAGUUCUGGUGGCUCAUGCCUG